UCCAUUGCCCUAACCUACCCAAACCCCUUAUCCUAUAAUAAAACCCAGAUAUAGAAAGAAUACAUCAUCACAUUUUUUAGACCUAGACCCCUACAUAGAGAAAAGCGGUGCUCCCUCUCGAUGUUCAUCAUCAUCUUCUCAAAACAGGGGCACCAACGAACAGAACCCCUCCCCCUUGAAUCCUUGUCGUCGCCGAGAUAGAAAGCAACAGAGAAUGAACUGCCUCUAAAAUCCCCUUCUCUAACCUCACUCAUCUCUCACUCAACUAUUCUGGAAAAAAAAAAGAAUUUCAGUUGAUUGGCUGGUUAUUUUCUGGGAUUGUAAGAGUAUUUAGACUCUCCAAAAUUGAUGGUUGAUUGUUGAAUCCGCGAGAGCUUCGAAAAUCUGGGUUACAAAAGCUUUAGAAAUUCUAAAAAAAAAGAAAAGAAGAAGAAGAAUCUGGGUUUGCUGCUGUUGUUUCUUCUUUCACUGAUUGAGCUCCAUUCGUUUUUGCUUGGCUAUUCUACACUUCACUUUGAGCAUUAGGUACACGCACGCGAACUUGUAUCUCUUUGUGUGUUAGAAUAAUCAAAUUUCUUUUCUCUUAUCUUCUAUGAAAUCCAGAUUUAUUGUUGCUCUCCUGUGACUUUCAUUCCCUAAUGUGCUGUUUAGUACAAGAUUAUGAGUUUACUUGUAUAUUUGGAAGCAUCACAUAUGAGAUUAAUUGAAUUUGAACCCCUAAAAUGAAUUCUCAUAAGUUGACCCAGGUUUAAUCAAGUGUUUUUAUGUAUUCUGGUGCUUCGAUUUGACAUGUUUAAUUCUAAAUGAACCUCCAGUGUUUUUUUUAUUAAGGGUUAUUCAUGUUUCUUGGUUUAACCGUAAACAAACCAUGGCUUUGCAAUAAAUCUUAGCCUGUUACAAAGGAGGCAGAUUUGGCCAUCGUUAGCUAAAUUUGUAGCAAAGGACCUUCCUUCUUCCUCUUUACGGAAUAGUGGUUAUUUCGUUACCUAAUAUGCUAUUCUGUUUUCUCUACAUGAAUGACCACACGUAAAUAUCAAUUUUGUAUAGCUAUUAAAUGUCAAUAAGUUAUGUUUGCUCCUCUGCAUUGUAGGUAACUAGAUUUGAAUGAGUUCAUGUUUUUGUUUCAAUAAUAUUUUGUCGUUUCCUUUAUGAGUCGUUUUGUUGGAAUUGGAAAAUGAUAAACUUCAGAUGUUCUUUUUUUUNNNNNNNNNNNNNNNNNNNNNNNUUAGAGAUUUCUUUAGUAUUGAUGAGUCACAUGGAUGAAAAAGCAAGUGAACCAUCCCAUGUGAUUGGAUUGGUUAAUAAGGAUGAAGAUAAUUUAUUAGGACAUUCUUUAAAAAAGUUGAAACGCAUACAUUCGUUUCAUAUGACAAGGUGGCUAAUAUCUUGAUAUUUGAAUUACUGGAUCAACGUUGUGGCAGUAAGUGUGCCCGUUAACCAUCGAUUCUCCCAAAAUGAUCUAAGUAUUAAAUGUUAGCAAUAUAUUAAGUUGAAACAUUUUAAUAAGUUCAAGGUAUAAAUUAUGCUUUAAUAAUAAUGAUAGCCAAACUACAACCUUCUCUCACAAUGAUUGUGUAUCCAUACUUCUCAUGACCCUCAUAUAAAUUAAGCUAACACUUAUAGAAAAAGUUUGAGGUGUGCCAUAAAUAAAUUAAAUCAUCCAUGUCCCUCACAAAUGUUGCUAUUAAAAUUGAACCUUCGUAGUUGCUUUAGGCGCAUUUCUUUAAAUAAUUCAUCAUAGCUACGGGUACGGUUCCCGUGACGUAGUUGCCUUUUUUUAAAAAAAAAUCGGGUAUACAUUUCAUGUGACCCAAUUUCAAUCUUCAACAAUGUUAAAUAGAACGUGUCGCGAACUGCGGGUGCAUUUCAUGUAGCGUGGUUCAAGACGUGUUUUAAAUAGCACUGAGUCUCCCUAAAAACAAUUAAAAGCGGUUAUAAAGCUAAAAAUGCACAAUAGGUUUUAAAACAUGUAGUAAAUCAGAUAAUUAGGCCAUUUUAAUAGUUCAAGUGACUGUGCUCGAACCACGAAACCCGGGAAUGCCUAACACCUUCUCCCGAAUUAACAGAAUUCCUUACUUAGAAUUUCUGGUUCGUAGACUUAUAAAGUAAAGUCGAAAUUUCCUCGAUUUGGGAUUUAAAACAAACCGGUGACUUGGGACACCAAAUAAACUAUUCCAAGUGGCGACUUUGAUAAAAUAAAUAAAAUAAUCUCAUUUCGAUUAAUGUCACUUAAAUUGAAAAAAUCCCCUUAUAUCUCCCUCUCGGUUGGUAAAAAGGGAGGUGUGACAAUGGCUUGUUCAGAAAAUGGGUCGUGACAUCUUCUUAUAUCAAAAUCCUCAUAAGUUUUUUAGACUAACCACAGUCAUGCACAAUUUUAAAAAAUCUUACUUCAUAAGGUCUAAAAACACCACAAAACCCUUAGAGGGCGUUUGGUAGGGUGUAUAAGAAUGGUGUGGAAUAAGGUGCAUGUAUUAGUAAUGCAUGUGAGCAUUAGUUAUGCAAAUAUUAUUUCUUAUCUAUUGUUUGGUGUGAUGUAUUAAAAUUAUAAUGCAUUGCAUAAUUUUUAAGAAAAAUAGUUGUUUACAAAAAUGCACUUCAUAUUCUCUAGCUUUAAGGGACUUUAAGGACAAUUCUAUCUUUAGCCAUACUAAUGUAUGCAUUAAUAGCAUUGGUAUUACUAAUUCCAUGAUUUUCUAUGCAUUACUUAUACAUAGGAUAAUACCAAGUAUGAUGUAUAACUAAUAGAAGUAUUAGUCAUACAUAAGUUGAAAAAUGUACCAAACAAGGUAUUAGUAAUGCAUAGAGCUAAUGCUUGCAUUAUUUUUUCUAAUACCUCCUACCAAACGACCUCUUAGAACCUAAGUACAAAACCAAAAAAGCAAAAUAGUUCGAUUGAAGUGAAUCAAACUCGAUCGAUAGAUACGAACAUCAUCUCGACUGUUAUGGGUGAUUUCUUUGAUCCAUAGGACCUCCCAACAGUUUAAGACUCUUGCUCUAUCUCAUCAGUCAAUGCCUCAGCUUCACCAUAGCUAUAAUUGCUAAUCUGAUUCACAUUCCUUUCAAUCUGAUCAUCAUGUAAUGACCCGACUGGUCAUUUUGAUUUUUAGAACCCCGUCCCCCUAAAUAAGACUUCCCUCGCUUGCUUUAACUAAUUUAUGACCUGCGGGGAUGGUUGGUUCGGGAUUUGGAAGAGUUUGGGUUGGAAUAGGCACACUUGAUUCCCUAAGAUUUUCUUAAAAGGCUAAGUUUGACUUUGGUCAACAUUUUUAAUAAAUGGACCUGGACUUGUGUUUUGAUGGUCCUGGAGGGUCCAUAGGAAAAUAUGGGACCUGGGCGUAUACCCGGAAUCGAAUUCCGAGGUCCCUAGCCCGAGUAAUGAAUUUUUGUUAGAAAUUGUUAAACUGAAAUUCUAAGGAUUUAAUGAAAUUGAAUAACGCUUGAUCAUGUUGGUAUCGGGUCCGUAUGUUGGUUCCAAAGCCCGGUACAUGUCCAAUAUAACAUUUAAGUCUUGUCUGUGAAAUUUGGUGAGAAACGGGAUUGAUUUGACGUGAUUCGGACGUCUGGUUGUAAAAAUAAGAAUUUGAAUGUUCUUAAGGAUUUCAUGCGUUUUGGUUUUGAAUCCGUAGUUUUAGAUGUUAUUUCGGCAAUUUGAUCGCUUGAACAAGUUUGUACAAUGUUAUUGGACUUGUACGAGUGUUCGGAGUGGAUCCCCGAGGGCUCGGGUGAGUUUUGGGCAUAGGUUGGGAGUAGAGCACACUAGAUUUUUGGUGUUUUUGGUUGUUGCAGCAGAUCUCGCAAUUGCGAGUUGCGAGGAGGGCUUCACAAUUGCGAAGGAGCCCGACCCAGGCAGAGUUCCGCAUUUGCGAUCCCAUCAGAAGUCACAAUUGCGAAUCCUCAGUCGCAUUUGCGAUACAGCAGCAUAAGCCCAGAUUUCGCAUUUGCGAGGCUUUUGUUGCAUUUGCGAACCUGGUGUCGCAAAUGCAACAUCAGAGGCCUGGGCACAACUUUUAAAAAUGGGACUUAGGCCAUUUAUUUCAUUUAACUUCUACACUUGGCGAUUUGGGAGGUUUCAAAGAGGGGAUUUCAACCUAACAUUGUGAGGUAAGUUAUUUCUACUUAAUGUGAGUUUAAUACUUGGGUUUUGGGUAGAUUAACACACUAAAAUUAGUGAAAAUCAUGGGAUUUGAGUGAAAACCUAGGGUUUUGAUAAAGACAAGAUUUAACUACGAAAUUUGUUAUGGAAUGGAAUAAAAAUCAUAUAUUCUUGAUCCUUAGGCUAUGGGUAACAACUUUCUUCAAAAAGUUUCAGAAUCCGGGCACGUGGGCUCGGGGUCGAAUUUUAGGAAUGUUGUAAUUUGGGUUGGGGAAUCACCCUAAUGGUUGGGAUAUGAACUUUUAAGCCUAUAUUGAUUAGUUUCUAUGCUAUUUGGAUAGUUUUGGCGUGUGUGGCACCAAAUUGAGGAUUUGGGCUUAAGCUUGGACCGAAAAGUAGGUCGUGAAGCGAGGUAAGUUUCAUUUCUAACCUUGUAAGAGGGAAUUGUCCCCAUAGGUGAAAUAAUUGAAUAAUUUGCCACUAAAUGCGGGGGCUACGUAUGCACUAGGUGACGAGAGUCCAUGCGUAGCCACUAUUAUGUUAAUUGUCUGGGUAGUUAGGACCCGUAUCAUGCCAUAUUUGUGAUUGUUUAUAUCCUUUCAUGCUAAUAAGAUCACUUAGGAUAUGCUAGAGAUUUCGAAAUGAACAUAUGUGAACGUAUGCACUUUCUUGAACACUUGUAUGAAUUAUUUGAAUAUAAAUGCGCCUUUUAUGCAUUUUCUUAAUGAUAAUUGAUAUUUGUGCAUUGGGCCGAUCGUCUCGGUAGAAAUAGAUGCAUCUAUGGUCCGCGCCAUUCGACCUUCUGGCAGUGCACAGUUUCUUUUCUGUUGGACCGAGCCGUACGACCUCGGCAUAACGUGCGCAUGAUAUUUAUGUGAAAUCUUAUUCAUGACUUACUUUGUUAGAUGCUCUGAAAUAUAAAUGGCUAGCUGUGAUAUUAUCUAGGACAUGACCGAUCACUUUUUGCUAUAAAUUAUUAUUUAUUUAUGACAUCCAUGCUUAGCAUAACACUUUAUUAUAUUAUUUGACCCUAGUAAGUAUCAAGUCGACCUCUCGUCUCUACUUCGAGAUUAGGCGGGAUACUUACUGAGUACAUAUUAUUUAUGUACUCAUAUUACGUUUUUGUACUUAAUUGUACAUGAUCUGAGGCAAUUACAUUUGGAUACCAGUCUGGUGCGCGUUCUUGAUCAUAGUCCGAGACUUCCACGGUGAGCUGCUCCCUUUCUAUGCCGUUCAUCAUCUUGAUGGAGUCUCUCUUUACUUUUGGCUGUCUAUUCUAUUUCAGACAGUAGGAUAGAUUUACUCUUUUGUAUAUUCUAUUAGAUGCCCACAUACUUGUGACACCAGGUCUUGGCACACACAUUAGUAGACUAUUCUUUUGAGGAUUGUAUAAUUAUUUUUGGUACGUUACUAAUUAUCACUUGUUUUAACUUCAAAGUAAGUAAUUGUUAUACUUGUUUUGGUAAACUAAAACGAGAACUUAUUAAUAUUUUCGCGUUGGCUUGCCUGACAAUGGUGUUGGGCGCCAUCACGACCUAUAAUAAAAUUGGGUCGUGACGCAUCAUCUCUACUACUUUUGCUUUCUUUGCUGCCCUUUAUAGCACAAGCUCCAAAUUCACUAACAAACCCAGUUUUACACUUUCUUGUUCCCUCAUCAGCAACAGCAUCAUCAUGUUAUACUGCUAAUCCAACCUUGUCACAACCAAGGCACCUGGUGAGUUUACAUGUGAAAAGCAACUCAGCAAUUCUAUCUUUUUUAAUUUCAACUCUUUGGAAUGAUUUACAGUUGUUACCUGUGAGCACAUGAUUUUGCCCUAUAUGAAUUACUCCCACAAAUUCAAAACAAAAUAAUUUCUUUUCGUUGUUUGUAAUUUCGUGGAUUUUUGUGGCAUUUUUCGUUAAUUGUUUGUAUUUGUCUGUGCACGUUACUUUUGUUUAAUUCAUGAAAAAUACAAAAAAUGUAAUACAUUUGCAUAUAGGACUUAAUUUUACAUCUUAGAUUAAUUAGUAAAUUAAUUUGUUUGACAAAAAUAGAAAAAAUCACAAAAAUGACUCAUUUUUGCAUUUUACUUAACUUUGAAUUUCUUUUAAUUUGGAAUUAAUUAGUUGUGGUAAGUAUUAUUUUGAGUAAUUAGCUUAAUUUGGUAAAAUAUUUAGUUUAAGAGUAAUUUAGGAUUUGAUUUAAUUUGAAAAGGAAAAAUUGAUUAAAAAUGAAAAAGUCAAAUAAAAAGGGGCUGUGAUUUGGGUCAUUUGGGCAGACCCAAAUGAACUUAUUCCCCGUACCCGCUCGAGUCCGGCCCAGCUUCCCCCCAAUACCCGGUCCACCCGUUCAGCUGACCAAACGACCCCGUUUCCCAGGUUCUCGAUCUGAGCCGUUGAUCCUGCGUGAUCAGAAGGCCAGGAACUGGGGUCUUUGUCACAUAUAAGUGUCCGAAUCCGCCUACCCCCACUCUAACUCAUCUCUUUCAUUGCCUUUUUCUUCAGAGAUCAAACCUCAACCCUAGCGCCGCCCUAGUUUCCUCCGGUGGCGGUGCCGUCUCCCAAUCCAUCCCAAAUUGAUACUACAAGACCACCACGACUCCCUCGUUCUAAAUCCCUGAUUGGUUUCCCUCGAAUCUUCACCAGACCCGUCGAAUCUGGGUUUGAAGAUGAACCCUAAAAUUCAAAAAAUCCCAAAUCGAGUUUUUGUGAAACAUUUAGGUCUAAUAUGACAUUAUUUGUAUGUUCUUUACAAGAACACACGAUUAAUAUCAGAUUUGGCCAAAAAUUCGAAGAUUUGAAGAUUCAGGUUCCAUUCUCCACUGUCCGGGCUUUAGUAGGAAUUUUCUUCACUUUUUUUUCUUUUUCUAUUUUUCUGCUUCUUCUCUUUUCUGUUCGUUUUCUUUGUCCCUCUCCUUUUCCUCCAGUCUUUCCUUAGUUGGAUUUCUUGAUUUGAAUUUGGUAAAAUAUUAAAGCAUUGAUUAUAAGUUUAUGUGUUUAUAUGGUGUUUGUAUUUAUUCCGUGAGCUUUUCAAAUUUUCUUGUAGAAGUUCUUGUAAAUUCCGUUUUAGUUUAUGCAUAUUGCCCGUUCAAGUUCUGUUAUGUUUUUCCAGUCAUAUAAUUGGCUCAGGUUAAUUCGAAUAUGUGAUUUAUUUGUAGCUCAUUGUUUUAAUUUAAAAGAAGAUCAGUCAGUUGAGCUUAGUUUAGUUAUGAAAAAAUCAAGUAAUUUUGUUCUUCUAAUUUUCAAAUGAGCUUUUGAUAUUGUUUGGGCCUUCGAUGUCAUUUUUGAAUCCUUCGUAGGGGCCUUUUAAGUGUUGGGUCAAACUUGACCCAUCAACACUUCAAAUUGGGUCAAUUUGACCCAUAUCUCUGCCUGGACCAGGGGUGAUUUCCAGGUGCUUAAGGGGUAGUUUAGGAACUUAGGCCUAAGGAAUCUUUGAAUAACUGAAUAGGAAGCUUCUAGGAAGCUGGGGUUUGGGACUAUUCUGAAAUGCUGAAAUUUACAACAGGGGCACUUAGGCUAAAAUGAAAAUUUUAGAAGGUGCAAAGUGCAAACCUGAUUUUCUUUAGGUUGCCCUAGUAGCUUGCCUAUAAAGGCACCUUAACUUGACACUCAAGUCAGGAAGUAGAGACAUAAUCCAGAGAAAACAAAAAUGGCUGAAAAUUUCAAUAAAAUCACUGUUUCAUUGAACUUCUUCUAUGAUUUUUGAAGUUUUUUUUAAAAUUUCUGAAACAAUUUCUGAUUCAUCUGGGGUGGAAAUGGAUUGAAUUUGGGUCUUGUAAAAGUUUGGUUUGAAGUUUGCUGGGUUAUUAUUCGAUUGAACCGUGUUUUUUAGACUGCUGCACAUCAUGUUUCUGGUUUGAAAUUGGUUUUACUGAUUAUUUCUUGCUGCUGAAGUUCUGGUUCUGCUGCUGUCUACUGCUUUCCUCACUUCUUUUUCUUUCAAUCUCCAGGUAUCUCUUUGAACUUUGAAUGGAAAUUGAAGCUGUGAAUGUGGCUUUUGUAUGGAAAGUUUGUUUCUGUUGAAGUUCAAUAAAAACUGCUAUUUGUUUGAAGCUUGGUUUUCAUAUUCUGCUCGGUUUAUUUAGCUUCUUGUCCAUUUCUCCUCUUAUUUUUUUUCUUAAACGUAAUAGAUUUGUAAUAAUAAUUGCUCUAGUGAUUCAUGUUUAAGUGUUAAAAUUGUAUGAAAGUUUGAAGUGGAACCAUGGUAAUUAGCUCUUUGUUUCGCAUUUCUUUAGUUGAGUUGAGCUUAAUUAGUUUCAUUGCUCAAUGUUUGAGUACUCCUUUGAAUAAGGUUGAUCGGUUUAUUCCCCAUUUGAAGUCUGUCAAUGUUAACUUAGCAUAGAUGGUUGAUUGGAAUAUGUAAGUGUCUUAGUUUUAAAACAAUUUGUCAUACUUAGUAUUUGCAUCUAUUUGGGACUAUUUCUUUCAAGGGACUGUUGGCAUUUCGUGUUGUUAGGCAUGGUGUCAAGUGCAAUUAUAAUCGAUUUCUUUUGUAAUUAAAGGCAUGCUCUAAUAGAAUUGUUGGGUUAAGAUUGGCAAACAUAUUUACCAUUUAGAACCAUAUGGUUAUUAUAAUUGAUAAACUUGGUUUUGAAGUUGGCAAUAUGGUCAUUUAUGUAAUAUGAG
RNAcentral lists this long non-coding RNA (8701 nucleotides) under Nicotiana tabacum (common tobacco). RNAcentral's name for it is "long non-coding RNA (NTAB_LNC001338)". Lineage: Eukaryota; Viridiplantae; Streptophyta; Magnoliopsida; Solanales; Solanaceae. The record is from RNAcentral.